Molecule: long non-coding RNA, 1647 nt
Organism: Symphalangus syndactylus (siamang)
Lineage: Eukaryota; Metazoa; Chordata; Mammalia; Primates; Hylobatidae
Source: RefSeq, a predicted model, not a curated record
AGCAGGGUGGUGAAGAGACAAGCAGAACAUAUCCAGCAUUGUGAAGAACCUCAGUGGUUGCCAUGAGAACCUCAAUGGUUGCCAUGAGAACUUCUGUGGUUGCCAUAAUGGGUCUUCCACUAGAAUUACACCCAGAGACAUGCUACCUGUGCCCAUCCCCACUCAUUCUUCUCCACUGGAAAUGGAAUGACAUGCAAGUACUGCCUCUGGGAGAAGGAAGCAUACUCUACGAUAAGCUCAGUUGGGUCUCAAAAGUUCCAGCUUUACAAAUAGCUUCUUCAUUAAAUGCUCCUGAUGUUAACUUAUAGGCAUCACUUCACAUUGACCUUGUGAAAGGAGAACACCUGAGCGGGUAUUUCGAAGCUUUUCAACUUCACUGUAAAAUGUCACAGGGCAGAGAAUGUACUUGGGAAGAUGAGCUUGCAUGGAGCCAGGCAAAGCGGAUUACAAUCUGGGCUGUCUUCUCAUAUUGAAUAGGAGCAGUGGGAGAUUUUGAUCAGAGAAGAGGAGAAGGUCACGUGACCAUAGAGGCAGCGACUGGAGUGAUGUGGCCAUAAACCAAGGAAGACAAGGAUUGCUGGCAGCCACAGAAAGCUGGAAGAGGCCAGGAGUGAUCCUCCCCUGGAGCCUCCGGAAGGAGUGUGGCCCUGCUGAUACCAUGAUGUUGGACUUCUGGCCUGCAGCACUGUGAAACAAUAAAUUUCAGUUGUUUUAAACCGCGAAGUUUCUGGGGAAGUGAUACUUAUUAAGCACCUGCCUCUAUGUGUCUGCCACUAUUUACAUCAACUCAUGUUGAUGUAAAUAACUCAAAAUAACUCCCAAGAGUUAGGCAUUGCUGCAUCAUCUGUGUGGUUAAAUUCAAAAGUUGCAAGAUAGCUACAAAUCUACAUGAAAUUAAAAUAAUCUUUGAAGAUGCUGUUUCUCAUUAUGUUUUUCCUGCUGAGUUGGGUGAAGAUGCUUUCUUUAAUUGAACCCUGGCUAAAGUAGCUAGUUGUUGGCUUGCAUUUAGCAGAGCCUUGCUAUGUAAAAUGCCUUUAUCUUGUUUUAAAGAGGUGUGAUUAUUCCUCAGCAAGACAAAAGGCUCAGGCUGUGAAAAGCAUGAGGGAACUGAAUGAAAUCCAGACCAUCUUCCUCUUACACAGGGCACAGCUCCCUCAGAGGGAAGGCAGGAAGAACUACCUGUGAAUUGUCAUUUUUUACCCACUCCCUGGCACACAGUAAGCUCCAAGUAAGUGUUAACUAUUCUUUAACUGUGAUUCAACCUGCAAUGUUUUCAAACUGGUGGGGGAUUGCUUGUAUUUGCCAUGGUGUUAUUUGAGUCUGUUUGUGGAAGUGAGGCAUGAGAAUAGGGUCUGGAGGCAGGGAAUCUAAGGACUUCCUAGAACCACAUCAAAUGGAAACACUUCAGUUAUGACAGGAAGUAUCCUUUCUAUUUACACAGGGCCUAAACUGAGUAAGUGACUUUGUAACUUUACUUCAUCCUCUUUGUUUACAUAGGGCGAACACCAAGUAACCAAUGGAAGCCUCUAGCAGAUAUUUAAACCGCAGAAAAUUCUGUAAGGGUGCUCUUGAGCCCCUAUGCUUGGGCCCGCUCCCACCCUAUGGAGUGCACUUCAUUUUGAAUAAAUCUCUGUUUUUGUUGCUUCA